UUUUGUUUGUGUCUUAUCUGAUGAAGUUGUUAAGCUUUUUUGAAGUAGCUUAAGCACCUAAUCUGAAAACUGCUUCUUUGAAGUAGCACCUUACGGCGGCCUCUGCCGCCUGUGGCUCUAGCACCCCCACGGGGGGCUUCACUGCAGGCCAGCAGCACCUCACGGCGGGCUUCGCAGCAGGCCAGCGCACCUUCGCUGCAGGCGAGCCGCAGGUUCAAGCCGCACCUUCGCUGCAGGCUAGCCGCAGGUUCAAGCCGUCACCUGCGCGUCUACAGAUCCGACCCAACUCCUCCACCAUGUAACCCUCCCUCCCUCUCUGUGCCCUAAUUUUCUAAUCUAUUUUCCCCUGUUUUUUUUUCUUUUUCUUUUUCUCUUUAAAUUAACUGGGAAACCAUCCCACUAUCCAGAUCUACGAGGUGUCAUCGUCGUGGUGGAAAUCGCUGAGAAAUCGCUGAAGAAUCGUAGGUUGCUGAAUUGGAGUAGUAAAAAUUACUAAAUCACUCUACUCUUUAAUAUUUUGCCUCAGUUUUUUUUUUUUUCCCUAAUAUUUAAACGUUAAUAAAUGUGGGUCGGGUGGUGCACGAAAAGGGGCUUUUNUUCCUAGCUCUUCGUCCCCUCCGCCCACUCCACCUGCGUUUCCAGCAAGUCUCGCGCCUCCGGCAAGCCCUGUGCCUCCGUCUUCAUCGGAAGCGAGCCCCAGGCCUCCGCCGCCUGUGGCUCUAGCACCCCCCACGGGUGGCUUCGCUGCAGGCCAGUAACUUCGUCCCCUCCGCCCCCUCCACCUGUGUUUCCAGCAAGCCUCGCGCCUCCGCCAAGCCCUGCGCCUCCGUCUUCAGCGGAAGCGAGCCCCGGGCCUCCGCCGCCUGUGGCUUUAGCACCCCCACGGGGGGCUUCGCUGCAGGCCAGUAACUUCUUUCCAGGGUAAAUUACAGAAGCACGACUAAGCAUUCGAGUUGUUUUAAGAAAUUAAGGAUAAUUAGGACAUCCUUUGUCUUCCUGCGUGCAUGUGUUCUUCUAUUUUCUUGGUGCAGGUUUAGAGAAAGACUCCAUGUAUUGCAUUUUCUUUCUUUUUAUUUUCUAUUGCCAGAUAAGUGAAAAAUGUUUAAGAAAGAAAUUCUCCUCUUUUGGAGCAAAUUAAGAGGUUAAUCUUUAAUGCUUCAACUCUGUUUCCCCUCAUUUUAUCUGCAUUUAUCCUAAAGAUAUUUUAACAUUGUUUGAUUCCUGCGCAAGUAGCAAACCUCAUCGCAUGAUGAGGUUGUUUUGUUUGUGUCUUAUCUGAUGAAGUUGUUAAGCUUCUUUGAAGUAGCUUAAACACCUAAUCUGAAAACUGCUUCUUUGAAGUAGCACCUCACGGCGGGCCUCUGCCGCCUGUGGCUCUAGCACCCCCACGGGGGUCUUCGCUGCAGGCUAGCGCACCUGCGCGUCGCCUCGUCGAGCCGCACGUGCGCGUCGCCUCGUCGAGCUGCACCUGCGCGUCGCCUCGUCGAGCCGCAGGUUCAAGCCGCACCUUCGCUGCAGGCGAGCCGCAGGUUCAAGCCGCACCUUCGCUACAGGUGAGCCGCAGGUUCAAGCCGCACCUUCGCCGCAGGUUCAAGCCGCACCUUCGCUGCAGGUGAGCUGCAGGUUCAAGCCGCACCUUCGCUGCAGGCUAGCCGCAGGUUCAAGCCGUCCCUGCGCGUCUACAGAUUCG
Molecule: long non-coding RNA, 1690 nt
Filed under: Ananas comosus (pineapple)
Lineage: Eukaryota; Viridiplantae; Streptophyta; Magnoliopsida; Poales; Bromeliaceae
Description: long non-coding RNA (ACOM_LNC007268)
Source: RNAcentral